This 347-nucleotide ribosomal RNA is filed under the name uncultured fungus. RNAcentral's name for it is "SSU rRNA". It matches the Rfam family "Eukaryotic small subunit ribosomal RNA", at positions 20 to 370 of the family's 1831-position model. The record is from RNAcentral. Lineage: Eukaryota; Fungi.
GUAGUCAUAUGCUUGUCUCAAAGAUUAAGCCAUGCAUGUCUAAGUAUAAGCAAUCUAUACGGUGAAACUGCGAAUGGCUCAUUAAAUCAGUUAUCGUUUAUUUGAUAGUACCUUACUACUUGGAUAACCGUGGUAAUUCUAGAGCUAAUACAUGCUAAAAACCUCGACUUCGGAAGGGGUGUAUUUAUUAGAUAAAAAACCAAUGCCCUUCGGGGCUCCUUGGUGAUUCAUAAUAACUUAACGAAUCGCAUGGCCUUGUGCCGGCGAUGGUUCAUUCAAAUUUCUGCCCUAUCAACUUUCGAUGGUAGGAUAGUGGCCUACCAUGGUUUCAACGGGUAACGGGGAAU